This 434-nucleotide ribosomal RNA is filed under the name uncultured Lachnospiraceae bacterium. RNAcentral's name for it is "bacterial SSU rRNA". It matches the Rfam family "Bacterial small subunit ribosomal RNA", at positions 341 to 792 of the family's 1533-position model. The record is from RNAcentral. Lineage: Bacteria; Bacillati; Bacillota; Clostridia; Lachnospirales; Lachnospiraceae.
ACGGAAGGCAGCAGUGGGGAAUAUUGCACAAUGGGGGAAACCCUGAUGCAGCGACGCCGCGUGAGUGAAGAAGUAUCUCGGUAUGUAAAGCUCUAUCAGCAGGGAAGAAAAUGACGGUACCUGACUAAGAAGCCCCGGCUAACUACGUGCCAGCAGCCGCGGUAAUACGUAGGGGGCAAGCGUUAUCCGGAUUUACUGGGUGUAAAGGGAGCGUAGACGGUUCUGCAAGUCUGAUGUGAAAGGCAGGGGCUCAACUCCUGGACUGCAUUGGAAACUGUAGAACUAGAGCGCCGGAGAGGUAAGCGGAAUUCCUAGUGUAGCGGUGAAAUGCGUAGAUAUUAGGAGGAACACCAGUGGCGAAGGCGGCUUACUGGACGGUAACUGACGUUGAGGCUCGAAAGCGUGGGGAGCAAACAGGAUUAGAUACCCUGGUA